GACGAACGCUGGCGGCGUGCUUAACACAUGCAAGUCGAACGAUGAAGCCGGAGCUUGCUCUGGUGAAUUAGUGGCGAACGGGUGAGUAACACGUGAGUAACCUGCCCUUGACUCUGGGAUAACUGCGGGAACCUGUAGCUAAUACCGGAUACGACCCUCGGAGGCAUCUCCUGGGGGUGGAAAGAAUUUCGGUCAAGGAUGGACUCGCGGCCUAUCAGCUAGUUGGUGAGGUAAAGGCUCACCAAGGCGACGACGGGUAGCCGGCCUGGGAGGGUGACCGGCCACACUGGGACUGGGACACGGACCAGACUCCUACGGGAGGCAGCAGUGGGGAAUAUUGCACAAUGGGCGCAAGCCUGAUGCAGCAACGCCGCGUGAGGGAUGACGGCCUUCGGGUUGUAAACCUCUUUUAGCAGGGAAGAAGCGAAAGUGACGGUACCUGCAGAAAAAGCACCGGCUAACUACGUGCCAGCCGCCGCGGUAA
This 484-nucleotide ribosomal RNA is filed under the name uncultured bacterium. RNAcentral describes it as "partial 16S ribosomal RNA". It matches the Rfam family "Bacterial small subunit ribosomal RNA", at positions 28 to 523 of the family's 1533-position model. The record is from RNAcentral.